Nilaparvata lugens (brown planthopper) is the source of this 926-nucleotide long non-coding RNA. RefSeq lists it as uncharacterized. The transcript is spliced from 3 exons. Lineage: Eukaryota; Metazoa; Arthropoda; Insecta; Hemiptera; Delphacidae. The record is from RefSeq and is a predicted model, not a curated record.
UAAUUUGAAUGCAGAAAUGCAGAAUCCUCAGGUGUUGUAGUCUCGCUGUAUCUAUGAGACCGCUCGCAUUUCAUGUGCCGACACUGACGCCAGCGCGGUAAUGGAUUGAACUACCAUUCAUUGCAGAGCGCAUGCGCCAUAAAUUGUGCUGUGGACCUGUGGCACAGUGCCUGUGGAUGAGUAAUUGAGUAUUGAUCCAUGCAGUGUGGUAUUCUAUUCGAAAUAGGAUCUUUAAUAAAACCUACUGUCAAUAGUGAUCCUUGCGAAAGAAAUAUUAAGCUUUUUUCAUAAUUUUCACCAAUCCUUUGAUAGAUAAAUAUAUUGUUCUAGUUUCAAUAUAUACCGGUAGUAUCGAUAUCAAUCCUUCAGAGAGUAGUCACACAGCACAGCAGGACUAGUGAAGGAUGGGGUACUUUUCUUGCCAUAUGUGUGGUCGGUGUUAUACUCAUCAAGAAACUUGGCGAAAACAUCAGCGGUAUGAGUGCAAUCUUCCUCCAAGAUUCGAGUGUGAUUUUUGCGACUACAAAACUGCGCAGAAGUCAAAUCUCAAGCGGCAUAUGAACUCCCAUCAUGCAGACAAGAUCGCUCCCUCGAAGAAGCUAAGUCGGGUUCAAAAAAAUACACGUGCAGCACGUGUGAGCGCUCCUACAACUACAUAAAAAAUCUUCAAAGGCAUCAGCAAAACGAAUGCGGCGCCACUCCAAAGUUCCCUUGCAAUAUCUGUCUCUACAAAGCUACCCAGAAGGCAAAUCUGAAACGGCACAUGAUCUUCAAACAUCCUGAAAAAUGUCUACCACCCUUUCAAAUUACUUUUUGAAAAUUACUUUGUGUCAAUGAAUGUUACCGUAUUGAAUUUCACAUGUUUGUUUUUUGUGUAUUCUUGAUGUGAAGUGUGAAAUAAAUUUGAUUUUUUUCAAUCUUCUCAA